RNAcentral lists this ribosomal RNA (1251 nucleotides) under Cucumber phyllody phytoplasma. RNAcentral's name for it is "bacterial SSU rRNA". It matches the Rfam family "Bacterial small subunit ribosomal RNA", at positions 153 to 1398 of the family's 1533-position model. The record is from RNAcentral. Lineage: Bacteria; Bacillati; Mycoplasmatota; Mollicutes; Acholeplasmatales; Acholeplasmataceae.
GAAACGGUUGCUAAGACUGGAUAGGAAACAAAAAGGCAUCUUUUUGUUUUUAAAAGACCUUCUUAUGAAGGUAUGCUUAAAGAGGGGCUUGCGCCACAUUAGUUAGUUGGUAGGGUAAAAGCCUACCAAGACGAUGAUGUGUAGCUGGACUGAGAGGUUGAACAGCCACAUUGGGACUGAGACACGGCCCAAACUCCUACGGGAGGCAGCAGUAGGGAAUUUUCGGCAAUGGAGGAAACUCUGACCGAGCAACGCCGCGUGAACGAUGAAGUAUUUCGGUAUGUAAAGUUCUUUUAUUGAAGAAGAAAAAGUAGUGGAAAAACUAUAUUGACGUUAUUCAAUGAAUAAGCCCCGGCUAACUAUGUGCCAGCAGCCGCGGUAAGACAUAGGGGGCGAGCGUUAUCCGGAAUUAUUGGGCGUAAAGGGUGCGUAGGCUGUUAGAUAAGUCUAUAAUUUAAUUUCAGUGCUUAACGCUGUCUUGUUAUAGAAACUGUCUUGACUAGAGUGAGAUAGAGGCAAGCGGAAUUCCAUGUGUAGCGGUAAAAUGUGUAAAUAUAUGGAGGAACACCAGAAGCGUAGGCGGCUUGCUGGGUCUUUACUGACGCUGAGGCACGAAAGCGUGGGUAGCAAACAGGAUUAGAUACCCUGGUAGUCCACGCCGUAAACGAUGAGUACUAAGUGUCGGGGUAAAACUCGGUACUGAAGUUAACACAUUAAGUACUCCGCCUGAGUAGUACGUACGCAAGUAUGAAACUUAAAGGAAUUGACGGGACUCCGCACAAGCGGUGGAUCAUGUUGUUUAAUUCGAAGAUACACGAAAAAUCUUACCAGGUCUUGACAUACUCUGCAAAGCUAUAGAAAUAUAGUGGAGGUUAUCAGGGAUACAGGUGGUGCAUGGUUGUCGUCAGUUCGUGUCGUGAGAUGUUAGGUUAAGUCCUAAAACGAGCGCAACCCUUGUCGUUAAUUGCCAGCACGUAAUGGGUGGGGACUUUAGCGAGACUGCCAAUUAAACAUUGGAGGAAGGUGAGGAUUACGUCAAAUCAUCAUGCCCCUUAUGAUCUGGGCUACAAACGUGAUACAAUGGCUGUGACAAAGAGUAGCUGAAACGCGAGUUUUUUAGCCAAUCUCAAAAAAGCAGUCUCAGUUCGGAUUGAAGUCUGUAACUCGACUUCAUGAAGUUGGAAUCGCUAGUAAUCGCGAAUCAGCAUGUCGCGGUGAAUACGUUCUCGGGGUUUGUACACACCGCCCGUC